CCGCUAGAGGUGAAAUUCUUGGAUUGGCCGAAGACAAACUACUGCGAAAGCAUUUGACCCAGGACGUUUUCAUUGAUCAGGGACUAAAGUUGAGGGAUCGAAGACGAUUAGAUACCGUCGUAGUCUUAACCACAAACUAUGCCGACUAGCGAUUGGGCCUUGACCUUUGGUCAGGUUCAGCAGCUUAGCGAAAGUAAAGUCUUUGGGUUCUGGGGGGAG
RNAcentral lists this non-coding RNA (219 nucleotides) under Absidia glauca. Its description in RNAcentral is "Eukaryotic small subunit ribosomal RNA". It matches the Rfam family "Eukaryotic small subunit ribosomal RNA", at positions 902 to 1123 of the family's 1831-position model. Lineage: Eukaryota; Fungi; Mucoromycota; Mucoromycetes; Mucorales; Cunninghamellaceae. The record is from Rfam by way of RNAcentral.